This 2906-nucleotide ribosomal RNA is filed under the name Escherichia coli. Its description in RNAcentral is "23S ribosomal RNA". It matches the Rfam family "Bacterial large subunit ribosomal RNA". Lineage: Bacteria; Pseudomonadati; Pseudomonadota; Gammaproteobacteria; Enterobacterales; Enterobacteriaceae. The record is from RNAcentral.
GGUUAAGCGACUAAGCGUACACGGUGGAUGCCCUGGCAGUCAGAGGCGAUGAAGGACGUGCUAAUCUGCGAUAAGCGUCGGUAAGGUGAUAUGAACCGUUAUAACCGGCGAUUUCCGAAUGGGGAAACCCAGUGUGUUUCGACACACUAUCAUUAACUGAAUCCAUAGGUUAAUGAGGCGAACCGGGGGAACUGAAACAUCUAAGUACCCCGAGGAAAAGAAAUCAACCGAGAUUCCCCCAGUAGCGGCGAGCGAACGGGGAGCAGCCCAGAGCCUGAAUCAGUGUGUGUGUUAGUGGAAGCGUCUGGAAAGGCGCGCGAUACAGGGUGACAGCCCCGUACACAAAAAUGCACAUGCUGUGAGCUCGAUGAGUAGGGCGGGACACGUGGUAUCCUGUCUGAAUAUGGGGGGACCAUCCUCCAAGGCUAAAUACUCCUGACUGACCGAUAGUGAACCAGUACCGUGAGGGAAAGGCGAAAAGAACCCCGGCGAGGGGAGUGAAAAAGAACCUGAAACCGUGUACGUACAAGCAGUGGGAGCACAGAGCAAUCUGUGUGACUGCGUACCUUUUGUAUAAUGGGUCAGCGACUUAUAUUCUGUAGCAAGGUUAACCGAAUAGGGGAGCCGAAGGGAAACCGAGUCUUAACUGGGCGUUAAGUUGCAGGGUAUAGACCCGAAACCCGGUGAUCUAGCCAUGGGCAGGUUGAAGGUUGGGUAACACUAACUGGAGGACCGAACCGACUAAUGUUGAAAAAUUAGCGGAUGACUUGUGGCUGGGGGUGAAAGGCCAAUCAAACCGGGAGAUAGCUGGUUCUCCCCGAAAGCUAUUUAGGUAGCGCCUCGUGAAUUCAUCUCCGGGGGUAGAGCACUGUUUCGGCAAGGGGGUCAUCCCGACUUACCAACCCGAUGCAAACUGCGAAUACCGGAGAAUGUUAUCACGGGAGACACACGGCGGGUGCUAACGUCCGUCGUGAAGAGGGAAACAACCCAGACCGCCAGCUAAGGUCCCAAAGUCAUGGUUAAGUGGGAAACGAUGUGGGAAGGCCCAGACAGCCAGGAUGUUGGCUUAGAAGCAGCCAUCAUUUAAAGAAAGCGUAAUAGCUCACUGGUCGAGUCGGCCUGCGCGGAAGAUGUAACGGGGCUAAACCAUGCACCGAAGCUGCGGCAGCGACGCUGAUGCGUUGUUGGGUAGGGGAGCGUUCUGUAAGCCUGCGAAGGUGUGCUGUGAGGCAUGCUGGAGGUAUCAGAAGUGCGAAUGCUGACAUAAGUAACGAUAAAGCGGGUGAAAAGCCCGCUCGCCGGAAGACCAAGGGUUCCUGUCCAACGUUAAUCGGGGCAGGGUGAGUCGACCCCUAAGGCGAGGCCGAAAGGCGUAGUCGAUGGGAAACAGGUUAAUAUUCCUGUACUUGGUGUUACUGCGAAGGGGGGACGGAGAAGGCUAUGUUGGCCGGGCGACGGUUGUCCCGGUUUAAGCGUGUAGGCUGGUUUUCCAGGCAAAUCCGGAAAAUCAAGGCUGAGGCGUGAUGACGAGGCACUACGGUGCUGAAGCAACAAAUGCCCUGCUUCCAGGAAAAGCCUCUAAGCAUCAGGUAACAUCAAAUCGUACCCCAAACCGACACAGGUGGUCAGGUAGAGAAUACCAAGGCGCUUGAGAGAACUCGGGUGAAGGAACUAGGCAAAAUGGUGCCGUAACUUCGGGAGAAGGCACGCUGAUAUGUAGGUGAAGUCCCUCGCGGAUGGAGCUGAAAUCAGUCGAAGAUACCAGCUGGCUGCAACUGUUUAUUAAAAACACAGCACUGUGCAAACACGAAAGUGGACGUAUACGGUGUGACGCCUGCCCGGUGCCGGAAGGUUAAUUGAUGGGGUCAGCGCAAGCGAAGCUCUUGAUCGAAGCCCCGGUAAACGGCGGCCGUAACUAUAACGGUCCUAAGGUAGCGAAAUUCCUUGUCGGGUAAGUUCCGACCUGCACGAAUGGCGUAAUGAUGGCCAGGCUGUCUCCACCCGAGACUCAGUGAAAUUGAACUCGCUGUGAAGAUGCAGUGUACCCGCGGCAAGACGGAAAGACCCCGUGAACCUUUACUAUAGCUUGACACUGAACAUUGAGCCUUGAUGUGUAGGAUAGGUGGGAGGCUUUGAAGUGUGGACGCCAGUCUGCAUGGAGCCGACCUUGAAAUACCACCCUUUAAUGUUUGAUGUUCUAACGUUGACCCGUAAUCCGGGUUGCGGACAGUGUCUGGUGGGUAGUUUGACUGGGGCGGUCUCCUCCUAAAGAGUAACGGAGGAGCACGAAGGUUGGCUAAUCCUGGUCGGACAUCAGGAGGUUAGUGCAAUGGCAUAAGCCAGCUUGACUGCGAGCGUGACGGCGCGAGCAGGUGCGAAAGCAGGUCAUAGUGAUCCGGUGGUUCUGAAUGGAAGGGCCAUCGCUCAACGGAUAAAAGGUACUCCGGGGAUAACAGGCUGAUACCGCCCAAGAGUUCAUAUCGACGGCGGUGUUUGGCACCUCGAUGUCGGCUCAUCACAUCCUGGGGCUGAAGUAGGUCCCAAGGGUAUGGCUGUUCGCCAUUUAAAGUGGUACGCGAGCUGGGUUUAGAACGUCGUGAGACAGUUCGGUCCCUAUCUGCCGUGGGCGCUGGAGAACUGAGGGGGGCUGCUCCUAGUACGAGAGGACCGGAGUGGACGCAUCACUGGUGUUCGGGUUGUCAUGCCAAUGGCACUGCCCGGUAGCUAAAUGCGGAAGAGAUAAGUGCUGAAAGCAUCUAAGCACGAAACUUGCCCCGAGAUGAGUUCUCCCUGACUCCUUGAGAGUCCUGAAGGAACGUUGAAGACGACGACGUUGAUAGGCCGGGUGUGUAAGCGCAGCGAUGCGUUGAGCUAACCGGUACUAAUGAACCGUGAGGCUUAACCUU